UACGUAGGGGGCCAGCGUUGUCCGGAUUCAUUGGGCGUAAAGCGCACGCAGGCGGUCUGGUAAGUCAUCGGUGAAAUCCCUCGGCUCAACCGGGGGGGGUCCGGUGGAACUGCCAGGCUGGAGGUCGGGAGGGGGAAGCGGAAUUCCCGGUGUAGUGGUGGAAUGCGUAGAGAUCGGGAGGAACACCAGUGGCGAAGGCGGCUUCCUGGCCCGAGCCUGACGCUGAGGUGCGAAAGCGUGGGGAGCGAUCCGG
This 253-nucleotide ribosomal RNA is filed under the name uncultured bacterium. RNAcentral's name for it is "partial 16S ribosomal RNA". It matches the Rfam family "Bacterial small subunit ribosomal RNA", at positions 524 to 776 of the family's 1533-position model. The record is from RNAcentral. RNAcentral also lists the same sequence under 1 other name.